RNAcentral lists this transfer RNA (67 nucleotides) under Xerotyphlops vermicularis (Eurasian blind snake). RNAcentral describes it as "tRNA-Glu". The record is from RNAcentral. Lineage: Eukaryota; Metazoa; Chordata; Lepidosauria; Squamata; Typhlopidae.
GUUUUUGUAGUUGAAUAACAACGGUGAUUUUUCAGGUCAUAGGUCUUGGUUUGUGCAAGCAAGAACA